This 4399-nucleotide long non-coding RNA is filed under the name Macaca mulatta (Rhesus monkey). RNAcentral's name for it is "lncRNA (ENSMMUG00000052964.1)". Lineage: Eukaryota; Metazoa; Chordata; Mammalia; Primates; Cercopithecidae. The record is from RNAcentral.
AUGGACCAUCACAAGUUUCCCCUACAGAAGCAGAUUUCUAACAACACAGAUGGGAGCAGUACAGAAAACUCUCAGGCACCUAGCAAGUCCCAGGAGAAGCAUGUUGGAGGGAGUAUGCGCAGAUCUGGAUCCAUUUUUGUAACUCUCCAGUUUAUUUAUCGUGAGAUGACACCGUCACUGCCAACACUAGGGCAGGGGAGGCACGAUGAUUUGAAACACUGUGGGGGUAAGUAGUACAUUUAGAGUUUCUCAGUUACUAAUAUUUUUUUUCAAUUUUUUUUAAAGCAUGGUUUUAUUUUGGGUCAAGAGUAGCAACUGAAGGCCAAAACAUGUACAUGGUAAAAAGGAAAUUAAGUUUGUUUCAAUAAAUAUUUCUCAAGCAUCUACUCUGUGGCAGGUUGAGGAUUUUUAAAUGAAUAAGACAAAAGUAGCUGAUAUUGGUGAAAGCUUACUGUUUUCUAUGCGAUUCUCUAGGCCCCUUACAUAUAUUACUCCAUGGAAAUCUAUCAACAACCCUGCAAGGUAAGCAUACAUGUUGACCCUAUUUUACAGAGAUCGUUUGGCUGCAGAGAAGUUAGUCAACUUGCUUAUAGUCACACAGGCAGAAAAUAGUAGCACUGGGAUUCAAACCCCUGUCAUCUACCUCUAGAAACUAUGUUUUAAAUCCUAUAUUUCCUUAAAAUAUUGACAUUAUAAGGUAGAAGACCAAUGUACAAACCAAUAACACAAUACAAUAGGAUAUGAACAAUAAAGUAUAAUUGAGGUAGACAGUAACAUUCUGCUGGAGUGAAGGGUAGAGGAGAGAGUCAAGGGAGACUUCAAAAAAAUGUGAUAAUUAAGUGGAGAUAGAAAGGUGGGAAUGCAGUUUACCUCAUAGAACAACUUUGAACAGAGAAGAGGAAUAGGAUGAAGAAGCUCCUGCCAUGAGAGAAAUAGCAUGUUAAAUACACGGAGAUAUGGCAUAGCAGGGUGAUGUCCUGGAAACCACAAUUGAUGUAGCAUUUCUGAAACACCAAGCAUCACCAUGGAGAGAGGUGGCAGGAAGUGAGUCUACAGAUAUAAGAGAGUGUCAGUUCAUAGGGAAACUUACGUGACAUGCUAAGGAGACUAUAUUUUAUCCUGUAAACCAAUGUUUCUCAAGGUUUCUCUUCAAUGUACCUGUAUAGAUAGAAAGAGAAAUAAACCCUUAGGCUGAGACAGUGUAGCCCACAUAGUCAAGUCCUCACAUAGAAAAACGUUUUGAAGCUGAUGGUUUUGUUCAAAUUUAUGCAUUUGCUUUCAAUUACAUAAUACUUUUAUUUUUAUUUUAUUUUAUGACAUCGUCUCUCUGUCAUCCAGGCUGGAGUGCAGUGAUGCAAUCACAGCUCACUGCAGCCUCGAUGUCUCAGGCUCAAGCAGUCCUUCUGCCUCAGCCUCCCCAAUAGCUGGGACUACAGGCAUGCACCACCACGCUCAGCUAGUAUUUGUUUUGUUUUUGUUUGGUAGAGUUGGGGUUUUGCUAAUUGACUAGACUCGUCUUGAACUCUUGGGCUCAGGUGACCUGCCCCCAUCAGCCUCCCAAAGUGAUGGGAUUACAGGUAUGAGCACUGCACUCAGCCUAUUUUAAUAUGCAAAUGUUUAAAUUAUUUCUCACUCAAGAAAAUUAAUGUUCUAAGAGACUUGCAUGCUUCAUUUGUGAAAAAGUAUCUUUUGACAUAUCCUGUGUUUGGGAAGUUCAACUGAAGAUAUUGGUAGGGCAAAAAACAAGGCAACAAUAUAAUCAUAUUUGUCUCUUUGAUAAUUUUGGAGGGGCAGAUAGAACAGGAAAAUCCUCCAGACAAUACUAGAGUUGAUGAGGGCCACACCAAGGCAGUGGCAGUGGUGAAGAAGAGAGAAGUGAUUUUAGAAACAUACGUUAGGAUAAUUAGCAUGGGAUAGUUAUCAAAUGAAUGUGAGGGAUAAUGGAAAAAACAAACCAAGGCUGUAUGUCAAUUAAGGAUCGUGUAAUCUCAUCAGCUGAGAUGGAGAAUAUAGGAAGAAGGACUUUCCUACACCUUUCAAGAACUUCAUUAUAAGGAAGACUCAGGACAGAGACCCUACAUCCAUUUGUAGGUUUGUAAGUCAAGAACGUACAGAUCUCAGGCCAGGUGUGGCGGCUCAUGCCUGUAAUCCCAGCACUUUGGGAAGGAGAGGCGAGUGGAUCACUGGAUGUCAGGAGUUCAAGACCAGCCUGGCCAACAUGGUGAAACUCCAUCUCUACUAAAAAUACAAAAAAUUGCUGGGUGUAGUAGCAGGCGCUUGCAAUCCUAGCUGCUCUGGAGGCUGAGGCAGGAGAAUCACCUGAACCCGGGAGGCAGAGGUUGCAGUGAGCUGACAUUGCGCCACUGCACUCCAGCCUGGAUGACAGAGCGAGACUCCGUCUCAAAAAAUAAAUAAAUAAAUAAAUAAUAAUAACAAUAAUACGAUUCUCAACAUUUUCACAUUCAACAUAAUCUCACUAUAUUUUUCUUGAUUCUCUUUUACAUAUUUCAAAGGUCUUUCCUCUUGAAAUUUGAAGAAAAAUACAUAUUUUUUUUUACAUUAGAAAACUCAGUGUGUUUAUUAUUUUUUAAAUACCCAGAAUUAACAACUGUUGGUGAGGAUGUGGAGAAUUUGGAAAUGUUGUACAAUGCUUGUAGGAAUGUAAAAUGGUGCAGUUAUUAUGGAAAACCGUAUGGCUUGAUGGUUCCUCAGAAAAUUAAAAAAUAGCAUCACCGUGUGAUCCAGGAAUCUGGGCAUAUACCCAAAGAAAUUGAAAGCAGGAACUCAAACAUGUUUGUACAUGUAUGUUCAUAACAGCAUUUUGCACAAUAACCAAAAAGUGGAAGCAAUCCUAGUAUCUAUCCAUGGAUAAAUGGAUAAACAAAAUGUGGUAAAUAUGUACAAUGUAAUAUCAUUUAGCCUAAACCGGCUUAUUUCAGAAACUUAUUGACUAGCUUAUUUUAUUGACUAGCUUAUUUUAUUUUUUAAAUCUUCUAGUGUCGAGGCUAUGAUAAAACAAAAUAAUGUCUAUUUUCCUGAAAUUGUUUAUUAAAUGAUUGAUCACUUCCCCAAAGUUGGUGAGGCUUUUUUUUUUUUAAUUAAUGAAUAAAUUUUAUGUGUAUUCAAGGGAUUAUUUCAGGAGCAUGUCUUCUGUCACAUGGACUUGUAUGGAAAGAGAAGCUAUGUAAAGCAUAACAACUACAAAUAUUGGCCUUGAGUGAAGUGUCCUGUGUUGAGUCCCAGAUCCACAUUUUCAAGUUGUGUGGACUCGGGGAAGUUGUUUAGUCUUUAUUAGCCUUGGUUUUUCAAUAAACAAAAUAAGAAUAGUGAUAGUAUUUACCUCGUAGAAUUGUUGCAAGUUUAAAAAGGAAAGUCUUACAAAGUACCUUGCAUAUGAUUAGUGCUUAAUCAAUAUUAGCUAUCAUGAUUUCACUGAAAUUUGGCAGAGUUCCAUAUAAGUAUGUGAGAUACAUAUAUAUUAUACAUUGACAUAUAUAAUAAUAAUAUUAGUAUGUGAGAUACAUAUAUAUUAUACAUUGACAUAUAUAAUAAUACAUUAGUAUGUGAGAUACAUAUAUAUCAAUAUAUAAUAUAUAUGUAUCUCACAAAUCUGUCUGGACUAAAUCAUAAUGUAUUUGGUCCUCACAAUUUUCAAGAAUUUAAUUUCAGGGAAGUAUCAAGGCAGAAACUGCACAACUGUGUAAUUGGCAGAGUGCUGUCACAUACAUUAUUGAUUUCUUUUAGAUUCGCACAAUAACUCUGUGAUAAAAGAUAUUUUCUCCCUAUGGAGACGAGCAAACUCUUAGAAAUCACAAAAGUUUUAGGGCAAAAACUUGCAGCUUCAGCUAAAAGCAUCUGACUUUCAAAUUCAAUGCUUCUACUGACGUAUCAGGAUGUCUUUGGGAACAGAUUCCAUACCAAGAAUCUCUGGUAUCAAAUAGCUCUGUAAACUUUUUUUUUAUUUAGGAAAGUGUUUAUGUUAAACAUAAAAAAAAAUCUAUUUAAUGCUUCCAGCGCAGUUCUCAUGUCCAUAAAUGAAAUAUCUCUAUCUCCUAAACUAUGAACAGAGGAGACUAAAGAGAUCACUCAAAUAAUAUAUAUAAUAUAGCAGGUGCUUGAUUUAUUCCUCUAUAAAAUUUCAGGAGGAUUAAGGAGGCUUACUGUGAAAAUGCUGUAAAAAAUAAUUACGACACCUGACUCAAAGCAGACACUCUUCAGACCUUUUUCAAAACUGGUGGAAGUGUUCUUGGCAGCUUGCUCUCAUCACAAAAAGGUGUUGUGAGAGGAGGAUUUUUCUCUGAGCAGCCAAGUUGUACUGAAACUCCCACAGGAGUAAAAAGAGUGUUCCAAGCUUUUCUUGCUUGCUAAGGAGUAACUGGAACCUCCUACCUGAACAUAA